CCUACGGGAGGCAGCAGUGGGGAAUAUUGGACAAUGGGCGCAAGCCUGAUCCAGCAAUGCCGCGUGAGUGAUGGAGGCCUUAGGGUCGUAAAGCUCUUUUACCAGGGAUGAUAAUGACAGUACCUGGAGAAUAAGCUCCGGCUAACUCCGUGCCAGCAGCCGCGGUAAUACGGAGGGAGCUAGCGUUGUUCGGAAUUACUGGGCGUAAAGCGUACGUAGGCGGUUAUUCAAGUCAGAGGUGAAAGCCCGGGGCUCAACCCCGGAACGGCCUUUGAAACUAGGUAGCUAGAAUCUUGGAGAGGUCAGUGGAAUUCCGAGUGUAGAGGUGAAAUUCGUAGAUAUUCGGAAGAACACCAGUGGCGAAGGCGACUGACUGGACAAGUAUUGACGCUGAGGUACGAAAGCGUGGGGAGCAAACAGGAUUAGAUACCCUGGUAGUCCACGCCGUAAACGAUGAUAACUAGCUGUUCGGGCACUUGGUGCUUGAGUGGCGCAGCUAACGCAUUAAGUUAUCCGCCUGGGGAGUACGGUCGCAAGAUUAAAACUUAAAUGAAAUUGACGG
This 562-nucleotide ribosomal RNA is filed under the name uncultured bacterium. Its description in RNAcentral is "bacterial SSU rRNA". It matches the Rfam family "Bacterial small subunit ribosomal RNA", at positions 338 to 916 of the family's 1533-position model. The record is from RNAcentral.